CAAAAGGCUCUUCUAAGAGCCACCACCUUGUCCUUUCAGAGCUAUAU
Molecule: non-coding RNA, 47 nt
Filed under: Pelobates cultripes (western spadefoot toad)
Lineage: Eukaryota; Metazoa; Chordata; Amphibia; Anura; Pelobatidae
Rfam family: Histone 3' UTR stem-loop
About the family: The mRNAs of metazoan histone genes lack a poly-A tail. 3' end processing occurs at a site between a highly conserved stem-loop (modelled by this family) and a purine rich region around 20 nts downstream (the histone downstream element, or HDE).
Source: RNAcentral